CAGGGCGGGCGGGCGGUG
RNAcentral lists this microRNA (18 nucleotides) under Callorhinchus milii (elephant shark). RNAcentral's name for it is "eshark_NOVEL_286". The record is from RNAcentral. Lineage: Eukaryota; Metazoa; Chordata; Chondrichthyes; Chimaeriformes; Callorhinchidae.